ACGCUGGCGGCGUGCUAACACAUGCAAGUCGAACGAUGAUAGAGAGCUUGCUUUUCUUGAUUAGUGGCGCACGGGUGAGUAAUGCAUAGAUAAUGUGCCCCUUAGUUCGGGAUAGCCACUGGAAACGGUGAUUAAUACCGGAUACUCCUUCUUGUUAUAAGACAAGUCGGGAAAGUUUUUCGCUAAGGGAUCAGUCUAUGUUCCAUCAGCUUGUUGGUGAGGUAAUGGCUCACCAAGGCUAUGACGGAUAUCUGGUUUGAGAGGAUGAUCAGACACACUGGAACUGAGACACGGUCCAGACUCCUACGGGAGGCAGCAGUGAGGAAUAUUGCACAAUGGAGGAAACUCUGAUGCAGCAACGCCGCGUGGAGGAUGACGCAUUUCGGUGUGUAAACUCCUUUUAUUAGGGAAGAUAAUGACGGUACCUAAUGAAUAAGCACCGGCUAACUCCGUGCCAGCAGCCGCGGUAAUACGGAGGGUGCAAGCGUUACUCGGAAUCACUGGGCGUAAAGGGUGCGUAGGCUGGCUUUUAAGUCAGAUGUGAAAUCCAAUGGCUCAACCAUUGAACUGCAUUUGAAACUGAAAGCCUAGAGCUCAGAAGGGGCAGAUGGAAUUAGUGGUGUAGGGGUAAAAUCCGUAGAUAUCACUAGGAAUAUCAAAAGCGAAGGCGAUCUGCUGGGAUGAUACUGACG
RNAcentral lists this ribosomal RNA (692 nucleotides) under uncultured bacterium. RNAcentral's name for it is "bacterial SSU rRNA". It matches the Rfam family "Bacterial small subunit ribosomal RNA", at positions 33 to 745 of the family's 1533-position model. The record is from RNAcentral.